CCGCCGGCGACCGGCGCACGGGUGAGUAACGCGUAUGCAACCUGCCCGUUUCAGCGGGAUAACCCGGAGAAAUCCGGCCUAAUACCGCAUGUGGCCGAGGGGAGGCAUCUUCUUUCGGCCAAAGGAGGCAACUCCGGAGACGGAUGGGCAUGCGUGACAUUAGCUUGUUGGCGGGGUAACGGCCCACCAAGGCGACGAUGUCUAGGGGUUCUGAGAGGAAGGUCCCCCACACUGGUACUGAGACACGGACCAGACUCCUACGGAAGGCAGCAG
RNAcentral lists this ribosomal RNA (273 nucleotides) under uncultured bacterium. RNAcentral's name for it is "partial 16S ribosomal RNA". It matches the Rfam family "Bacterial small subunit ribosomal RNA", at positions 85 to 354 of the family's 1533-position model. The record is from RNAcentral.